UCUUUUUUUUACUGUCCCCAUUUCGUCUUUGGUGUGGGAUCCUCUUUUAGUUCUUUCCAAGUUGUCGGUUUCUUAAGUGGGUUCCUUUUCGAUUACUUUCUCGGGCGACCAGUUCUGUGACUACUUGCCUCACUAGAAGUUCACCCUUCACAACAUCUAGGACAAGAUGGGUCACGAUUUAAACUUGGACUUGGAGGAUGACAAGGUAACAAUUGACCUCUGUCACGUACCGACAUACGCCGAGCACCAGAACUGGAAAGAAGACCGUGAGACGGACUCUUAAACACGUGGCCUCCGCAACAUUGAAGUAUAUAAUAACUCGUUCAAGGGUUUCUUGUUAGUGGUCUGUGAAAUACAGUUCCCAGAAAAUUCAAAGUUGUACUAUUACCACCUUGACUAAGAUAAUCCACGAGUAAGUUUAAACGCUUCAGACAUUAAGUGCGUUACCUUAAUAUGAGACGUCGUUAAGCACAGAGUUCAGGUCCAGAACCUUUCUAUAUAAAGUGAUGUAUAACACAAGGAAACCGAACGAUAUAGCACCACAUACUUGGCAACAAUGUAAUACUACUAGAAGUAGUAUUGUUUUUUCGUCUUCUAAGUUAGACAUUAAGGUUAUUUUAAUAUUUUUUCUCCACCGAUCGAUUGUAUUCCUUAUAAAUACUCCCGGAGCUAAAUGAAGUGAGUAACGCGUAUUCAGUAGGAAACUGUUUAUUCCACAAAUCAAUGUACACCACGUUCUGUCUCCUGCCUAGAUAACCUAGACAUUUCAAUUAUCCACGUUUACCUUCGUACGUUUGUUACUGGUUUGUGUUAUUAUGUCACUCAUCUCUCGCUCUACUUGCACGCCUACAAAAUGUAAAGGAACUCUUUGAAGCAUAACGCCUCACGGGACUAAUAGGCAGUAAGUCUACCGAACAACUUUUGUCACAAAGACGAUUUCGCUAAGACCCCGUAGGUGACGAAUGAUUUAGUCUGCUCCGGUAUCAACUACAUAUAAUGACCAAUGUGCUCAGGCACAAUUCGGAUCUACCUUUAGUUGCGUCAUACAACGUCUUACUAGACUUACGGUUUAAGGGAUGAAAUCGUUUAUGAACCUCUUUGUGUCACUUCAGUUCAUGACGAAAACACCCUCACUUUCAACGAUUCAUGAUACUACUAGAGAACCUAGAUGACGCGAAACAGUCCUUAAUAUAACUUGUGUUCGCACUGCUUCGCAAUAUGUAAAUAAGUGCACACUUGGUAUUCUUGUAACAGCAGCUUAAUAGUUUCCGUAAGGGCUGUAAGAACCGGACCCAAAUGUGGAUAUAAUUUGAAAAAACUUUUUCUUAAACAAUGACUUCUUUGUAAAGGAGAGACACUUCGACCACCCCAAUACAUUACUCCCGAAGUUACCGACCACCGAGUCGAGUAAGUUCGCAAAUCACAAGUCAAAUUAACCCCCAAACGAACCUUCAAAUUUCUUGUAAGUCAACCGUCGAAGAACCAAGUUUGACAGGGAUUAAACCAGAUGUACCUUGAUUCUCACACCAUUCUUGAUGUUUCACCUAACUGAGACGUCAUCUUUUUUACUUCGAGAUAAGUCAGACUCGCUCCAGAAAAGCCCAAGGUUAAAACUACUCUGUAUCUCUACCGAGGAGCCUCUGUCUUAGGUACAAUACCUGACAUGUUGACACCUAUAUGAUCACAUAACCAGUGUACCUUAAUAAUCUUAGUUCCGGUCUCAGUCCCUGGGAUUCCUUUAGGGAUCUUGACGUUAACUCCUUUAUCACCUCCCACCGGGAAAUGAACUACCGUACAACUAGUCGUUGUCCCUAUUACAGAGAUUUCCUCCCUUAUACUGUGGUUUUUCUGGUUUUCCACCGCCGAGUCUAUUACGUAGACAAAGAUUACCGUGAACAUGAUACUUACAACUACCUCAAUAGAGACCGUUCAAGUGUGUGCCGUUCAAAAUGAUAAUAGUUACCUUCUUCAAGACUAUACAGGUGGUGACUCCGGUCUGGUCAUCCGGUAUACCCAACGAAGAACUAAGAUUGGUGCUUCUUAAAAUAAAACAAUCCUUCCCAAGUAAAAGAGAGAAGGCCACAAACCUUCUAGACCUCGUUGAAUAAAUACCAAGAAGUCUACUUACCCCCUUUAGAGCCACCACAACCUUACUUGAAUGACCUGCUGUAUGGACUGAGACCUUGGGAGUAACUUCAGGAAUCCACGUACACGGUACAUUUGGUAGAUGACCCCACUAGAAGACGACGUUAUAUAAUGCUCAGGGAGUGGUCAAGACAAUAUAGUAGACUAAUUUAACAAUGAGUCUAUAAUUUCUUUGACCGAUUGCACAAACGAGUGGGGUAAGUGUUUGUACCUCCGUUCACGGACAGCACGGGUUCAAAUCCGUUCUCACCGACGUGUACACCCCAGACAACUUCAUAUACACCUUGGAUGUCAAUGAGGGAGGCAGGUCCCGAGUUUAAAGUCAUACCCGGGUGGUUCAUGAUCAACUCUAAAGUCUUCCUUCCGAAGUACGUCCAAACACCGCAAGUCAACUCGAGUCGUUGUAGAGCGACGCGCUCUUAGUACCAGCGGUAAACCACCUAGAAUACUCAUACGACCUGUAUCGACAACGUAGAGACCCUCAGUUUCUGGCAAUACAUCUCAUGUUACGACAGUCCACGGUGGAAGAUGAUCUUUACAUCGAGUAGAAGUCUUCUGUUUAUAAGAACACAACUAUCCAGUUGAAGAAUAGACGUGCACGUUUGAGAAUCCUUAAAGGGUUAACUUUUUGAAAUACCUCUCCACCAGGACAACACUGAACUAAGACAAGAAGAAAACCUAGGAGAUCCUAAUAAAUCAACGAGUGACUUUUCCUGUGACAGUUGAUAGUUUAUGGACAUGUUUCGUCCUCCCUUUCAAGAAGAUCAAUGGUCAGGGGGUCAGACAAUUAGGUCACAAGUUCAGUUAGUUUAGAAAACGUCCAAUAAACUUUAAGCAUAAGAUUAUGCGAAUACGGUUUGAAAUAUGACUAUUCAACAAUCUAUACCAACGUGAGAUCCUGGGUUUUUGUCAACAAGUCAAACGUUGUCUUACUAAGAUUGCAGUCAUUCGGUCCCGUAGACUGUUUCUAAUGUACAAACUUGGGUUCGGACAUUUAUAAAAAAAUAAACAUUUGGUUUUCAUAGACAUGAUAACCUCUUUGGUUCAUUAUUACGAUAAUCGUGGGUACGUGAUUCACAGACCUGUUGACGUAAAGAGGGAACAUAGAAAAGAGUAUGACAAAUACUGUGAUGUCACCGAAUUAAACCAGUACAUAAGACUUAGUGUAUAAAAUUUACGUCGAUUGAAUAGGUCUUGUCGAAGAAAACAAGCAAGAACUAUUGACUUUUAUUAGACAGUAUUUACGACUAUCAGUCUGAUAUACAGUCGCGAAGAAGUUCAUUUCCAGUAGGGCCACCUACCACAGGGAACAAAUUGUAGUACAUUCUUCCUUCUUACCCACGUCUUACUAUAAUAGAACAAACUUUUAGAAAACUUGAAGUCCCCUCUUUUUACGUUUGACGUUAUUAAAAAGAGUCUUCGAUCGCAGUCCACGUCGUUAGAAACAGUUACUAAGAAAGAGUAACAGAACGUCGUUAGAAACAGUUACUAAGAAAGAGUAACAGAGUAUUCUAAGUGCGUAGUUGCCAACCGUAGUGAGCAAAGACGAUACGUAGAGAACGACCAAAGGUAAAACUCCUCCUCGAAUACGUUAGCGAUUUCUAGUUACUGUGGUGUUCCGCGGUAUGUAUCGUUAUUAACCUCCGUCAUUGAAGAACUCUUUCCGUGGACGUGGCGUAGACAAUCGGAAGUUGCGCUACCCAACAAAGAACAACCUUUCAAUAGUAAAGUUUAUUACUUACCGGAACCUUAAGGUCACAGGAGGACAAACGAUCUUUUUUUACGUUGGUUCCUUCACAAUGUUGAAUAAUUUUAUCGGGUAUUAUCCUUGUAAGGAUAAAUAAUAGGUUGUCUGGACACCACAAACUUGUCGUUGUUAUUACUUGUUGAGCUUUAUAAACUGAGUCGACUUGAUAACAGACCAAAUGGUACUUCUCCCCCUUACGGCCGUCGACCUUAAGACCGACCUUUUCCUCGUUUACAACCUUUGGAUAAGACGUGUUGAGGUUUUCAGGACUUUGAGGUGCUUUGUAGAAAAACCUAAAUUAUUCUUAAAAACUCGCUUUCUUUAUGUGGUCCCCCGGGUGUGGGACAGGUCCUCUCUCCUACCGCGGGGGGGAUAUCCCGUGCGGGGGAUAGAGGACCCGGGGGACCACCCGG
RNAcentral lists this ribosomal RNA (4305 nucleotides) under Triticum aestivum (bread wheat). RNAcentral describes it as "partial small subunit ribosomal RNA". The record is from RNAcentral. Lineage: Eukaryota; Viridiplantae; Streptophyta; Magnoliopsida; Poales; Poaceae.